This is a non-coding RNA of Amborella trichopoda, 102 nucleotides long. The record is from RefSeq and is a predicted model, not a curated record. NCBI's taxonomy places the organism in Eukaryota, Viridiplantae, Streptophyta, Magnoliopsida, Amborellales, Amborellaceae.
UGAUCAUUCAGAUCUUAAACCUAACCACUUCCUCAUCCGGUUGUCAGCGCAAUUGGAGUGCUUUUGAAGGGAUUCAUACAAAGAGAAGGAACAAGCUUGAAU